CAGCAGCAGCCACGGUAAUACGGAGGGUGCAAGCGUUGUCCGGAUUUAUUGGGUUUAAAGGGUGCGUAGGCGGCCUAAUAAGUCAGUGGUGAAAGCCUCCAGCUUAACUGGAGAACUGCCAUUGAUACUGUUAGGCUUGAGUAUACUUGAGGUAGGCGGAAUUGACAGUGUAGCGGUGAAAUGCAUAGAUAUUGUCAAGAACACCAAUUGCGAAGGCAGCUUACUAAAUUAUAACUGACGCUGAGGCACGAAAGUGUGGGUAUCAAACAGGAUUAGAUACCCCAGUAGUCCCUGUCUCUUAUAC
Molecule: ribosomal RNA, 304 nt
Filed under: uncultured bacterium
Lineage: Bacteria
Description: partial 16S ribosomal RNA
Rfam family: Bacterial small subunit ribosomal RNA
Source: RNAcentral